GAUGAAGAACGUAGCGAAAUGCGAUAAGUAAUGUGAAUUGCAGAAUUCAGUGAAUCAUCGAAUCUUUGAACGCACAUUGGGCCCGUCAGUAUUCUGGCGGGCAUGCCUGUUCGAGCGUCAUUACGCCCCUCAAGUCCCCUGUGGACUUGGUGUUGGGGAUCGGCGAGGCUGGUUUUCCAGCACAGCCGUCCCUUAAAUUAAUUGGCGGUCUCGCCGUGGCCCUCCUCUGCGCAGUAGUAAAACACUCGCAACAGGAGCCCGGCGCGGUCCACUGCCGUAAAACCCCCCAACUUUUUAUAGUUGACCUCGAAUCAGGUAGGACUACCCGCUGAACUUAAGCAUAUCAAUAAGCGGAGGA
Molecule: unclassified non-coding RNA, 358 nt
Filed under: soil metagenome
Description: partial contains 5.8S ribosomal RNA, internal transcribed spacer 2, and large subunit ribosomal RNA
Rfam family: 5.8S ribosomal RNA (bases 1-120)
Source: RNAcentral